UAAAUUAUCUAAUCCAAACCAAGACAUGUAGAUAGAAACCUAUUCUCUUUUUGUCUCUUGUUGUCUGAUUCUCUCUUCAUCUUCGGCGGCAAAACUCAGCCAAUCAUCGAUAUAAUAUUUUUUGCGAGGGAUCAUUAAUUCUGAUGAGGAGGACAAAGCUUCAACAAGCGAACAACAAUAUCCACUACUUAGAGAGCUAAAGCAUAAACAUGAAUUGCAAUUUCCGCCAGGUUAGUUUUCAAUCCUUUCCAAAAAUCAACUACUAUCAAUAAUAAUUGAAGCACUUUUUAGUCGAAAUACUCAUCACUCGAAACACUUUCUAGUGUAAACUUUUUAAUUCUACUUUAAUAACACACUCAUAAACACUAUAUCAUUUAGUAGUAAAACACUCAGUAACUAAAAAAUAUUUUCUUAAAAAAAGAUAUGAUGCGGAACUUUUAAUUAAAACUCACAACUAAAAAAUUAAAAUAGUUGAAACAUACUUAGUAAACACCAAAUUAUUUUCAACAAAAAAUAGUCAAAGUCGUAGCACUGAACCAUUCAACCAAAAAAAAACACAUUUAACAAGAUACACACACGACUAAUAAAUGUGUAUUUUCUUACGUCUUUAAAAUUACAUUAACACUUAAUUAAUUCAACAAAAUCCCUUUAGCCAAAAUUUAGUCGAAGCACUUACUCAAAAAACUUAUAUCUAAAUCCGAACACACGUAAAACACUAGAUCAAUUUACUUAAAAGUCGAAACAUAUAUUUCCAAGCAUACUUCUAAACAAAGCAUACUUAGUGAAGUACAUUAGUUAUACUGUUGAACACAAUAUUAAAUCACGAACACGUACUCCUAAACUAGUCAGGCAAAUUACUCCUAACAUUUUAGUCAAAACAUAGUUAUUCGUAACACUUGAAAACACUUCCGCAAUUCCGCAUUUAAAGGCAAGUGCAAAAAUCACACUUUAUUUAAAAAAAGCUUAUAUAAAAACCGUUUUAGGCGAAGUAUGAAUAUUACUUGAACAAUUAUUGUUUUUACUUCACAUUUCGUCGAAGCGUCUGUUAGUCGAAGCCAAGCACAAGUUGAACCACUGUUAGUCGUAUCGCUGUUAGUCGUUAGUCAAAACACUUUUUUAUGUCAUACAUUUUGUACGUUGUUAUUAAAUGUUAACUUGAUCGGGAAAAGACCACUCUGUUGCAGGUCGCACACCUUUAACAGUGAUCUAAUAUAUCAAAGACAAAAAAAAGGUGGAUUGAGAUUAAUCAUAAAAGGAAACAAAUACUUUAACAACUUCUCAAAAAAAUUGGUGAUCAAACUCAGAAAACUAAAAAUUGGAACAUAGCAACUGAAGAAAAUGAAAAUGAGGAUCUGUUUCGCAUCCAUAUUUCGCAAACUCAUUAAAACGUUAAUUAAUUUUAAAAUAACCAAGUGUAGAUAACGCAGCUUAUCGGAUCCGUUGGUAUAACGUUGUAUGGUCCUCAGUUUGGAAGGAGUGGCGAUUUUCCGAAAAUGGAUUGAUAUAAGGCAAACAGAUUGGUUCAGAGUAAUUUCAAAAAAAUCAAUGAAACGGUAUAUGAAAUAAUGUACUUAAAAUAUUAUAUCAAAUAGGCUAUCUCUAUGCUCACAUCACAUGCGUCGAAUAAACAAUUAAAACAAAAAUCCAACGGGACGACCAAUAGCAUAAUUCCGGUGGCUCGUAAUUAAAAAUUGGUCCACAUUAUAUCAAAGUGCUCACGUACCCUUUCAAAAUUCCAAUUCCAACUAAUGUUGCUGUGGUGCUACAGAAAUAAAUAAAAAACUAUAGUUGAAAACUGACAAAACAAGUAUAAUUAAUAUUGACUCGCUUUAUACAAGAAACAUGUUACUUUGUACAAAACAAGUAUAAUUAAUAUU
Molecule: non-coding RNA, 1877 nt
Organism: Arabidopsis thaliana (thale cress)
Lineage: Eukaryota; Viridiplantae; Streptophyta; Magnoliopsida; Brassicales; Brassicaceae
Source: RefSeq